CAGUAGCCACGGGAAUACGAAGGGGGCUAGCGUUGCUCGGAAUCACUGGGCGUAAAGGGUGCGUAGGCGGGUCUUUAAGUCAGGGGUGAAAUCCUGGAGCUCAACUCCAGAACUGCCUUUGAUACUGAAGAUCUUGAGUUCGGGAGAGGUGAGUGGAACUGCGAGUGUAGAGGUGAAAUUCGUAGAUAUUCGCAAGAACACCAGUGGCGAAGGCGGCUCACUGGCCCGAUACUGACGCUGAGGCACGAAAGCGUGGGGAGCAGACAGGAUUAGAUACCCGGGUAGUCCCUGUCUCUUAUAC
This 301-nucleotide ribosomal RNA is filed under the name uncultured bacterium. Its description in RNAcentral is "partial 16S ribosomal RNA". It matches the Rfam family "Bacterial small subunit ribosomal RNA", at positions 509 to 807 of the family's 1533-position model. The record is from RNAcentral.